AAACCAUGAUGAGGGCAUUUCCUUAACAACUCUUUGAACUUUUCCCAAGUUUCAUACAAAGAUUCCUCGUCCUCUUAAGAAUAUGAAUUAAUUUCAGUCAUUAGUUU
This is a non-coding RNA of Helianthus annuus (common sunflower), 107 nucleotides long. Lineage: Eukaryota; Viridiplantae; Streptophyta; Magnoliopsida; Asterales; Asteraceae. The record is from Rfam.